Molecule: ribosomal RNA, 253 nt
Filed under: uncultured bacterium
Lineage: Bacteria
Description: partial 16S ribosomal RNA
Rfam family: Bacterial small subunit ribosomal RNA
Source: RNAcentral
UACGUAGGUGGCAAGCGUUGCUCGGAAUUAUUGGGCGUAAAGCGCACGUAGGCGGCUCGGCAAGUCGGAUGUGAAAUCCCUCGGCUCAACCAAGGAAGUGCAUCCGAAACUGCGGAGCUUGAGUACUUAAGAGGAUCGCGGAAUUCCCGGUGUAGAGGUGAAAUUCGUAGAUAUCGGGAGGAACACCAGUGGCGAAGGCGGCGAUCUGGGAAGAUACUGACGCUGAGGUGCGAAAGCGUGGGGAGCGAACAGG